UGGGGAAUUUUGGACAAUGGGGGCAACCCUGAUCCAGCAAUGCCGCGUGUGUGAAGAAGGCCUUCGGGUUGUAAAGCACUUUUGUCCGGAAAGAAAACCKCKKCCCUAAUAUGGUGGKGGGAUGACGGUACCGGAAGAAUAAGCACCGGCUAACUACGUGCCAGCAGCCGCGGUAAUACGUAGGGUGCGAGCGUUAAUCGGAAUUACUGGGCGUAAAGCGUGCGCAGGCGGUCUGUUAAGACCGAUGUGAAAUCCCCGGGCUUAACCUGGGAACUGCAUUGGUGACUGGCAGGCUUUGAGUGUGGCAGAGGGAGGUAGAAUUCCACGUGUAGCAGUGAAAUGCGUAGAGAUGUGGAGGAAUACCGAUGGCGAAGGCAGCCUCCUGGGCCAACACUGACGCUCAUGCACGAAAGCGUGGGGAGCAAACAGGAUUAGAUACCCUGGUAGUCCACGCCCUAAACGAUGUCAACUAGUUGUUGGGGAUUCAUUUCCUUAGUAACGUAGCUAACGCGUGAAGUUGACCGCCUGGGGAGUACGGUCGCAAGAUUA
This 549-nucleotide ribosomal RNA is filed under the name uncultured bacterium. RNAcentral describes it as "bacterial SSU rRNA". It matches the Rfam family "Bacterial small subunit ribosomal RNA", at positions 355 to 896 of the family's 1533-position model. The record is from RNAcentral.